Molecule: ribosomal RNA, 897 nt
Filed under: Bacillus sp. HZBN84
Lineage: Bacteria; Bacillati; Bacillota; Bacilli; Caryophanales; Bacillaceae
Also listed under: 1 other name
Description: bacterial SSU rRNA
Rfam family: Bacterial small subunit ribosomal RNA
Source: RNAcentral
AGUCUGACGGAGCAACGCCGCGUGAGUGAUGAAGGAUUUCGGUUCGUAAAGCUCUGUUGUUAGGGAAGAACAAGUGCCGUUCGAAUAGGGCGGCACCUUGACGGUACCUAACCAGAAAGCCACGGCUAACUACGUGCCAGCAGCCGCGGUAAUACGUAGGUGGCAAGCGUUGUCCGGAAUUAUUGGGCGUAAAGCGCGCGCAGGCGGUCUUUUAAGUCUGAUGUGAAAGCCCACGGCUCAACCGUGGAGGGUCAUUGGAAACUGGGAGACUUGAGUACAGAAGAGGAGAGUGGAAUUCCACGUGUAGCGGUGAAAUGCGUAGAUAUGUGGAGGAACACCAGUGGCGAAGGCGACUCUCUGGUCUGUAACUGACGCUGAGGCGCGAAAGCGUGGGGAGCAAACAGGAUUAGAUACCCUGGUAGUCCACGCCGUAAACGAUGAGUGCUAGGUGUUAGGGGUUUCGAUGCCCUUAGUGCCGAAGUUAACACAUUAAGCACUCCGCCUGGGGAGUACGACCGCAAGGUUGAAACUCAAAGGAAUUGACGGGGGCCCGCACAAGCAGUGGAGCAUGUGGUUUAAUUCGAAGCAACGCGAAGAACCUUACCAGGUCUUGACAUCCUUUGACCACCCUAGAGAUAGGGCUUUCCCCUUCGGGGGACAAAGUGACAGGUGGUGCAUGGUUGUCGUCAGCUCGUGUCGUGAGAUGUUGGGUUAAGUCCCGCAACGAGCGCAACCCUUGAUCUUAGUUGCCAGCAUUCAGUUGGGCACUCUAAGGUGACUGCCGGUGACAAACCGGAGGAAGGUGGGGACGACGUCAAAUCAUCAUGCCCCUUAUGACCUGGGCUACACACGUGCUACAAUGGAUGGUACAAAGAGCAGCAAAACCGCGAGGUCGAG